This 253-nucleotide ribosomal RNA is filed under the name uncultured bacterium. Its description in RNAcentral is "partial 16S ribosomal RNA". It matches the Rfam family "Bacterial small subunit ribosomal RNA", at positions 524 to 776 of the family's 1533-position model. The record is from RNAcentral.
GACGUAGGGCGCGAGCGUUGUCCGGAUUUAUUGGGCGUAAAGAGCUCGUAGGUGGCGUGUCGCGUCUGCCGUGAAAGCCCAUGGCUUAACUGUGGGUCUGCGGUGGAUACGGGCAGGCUAGAGGCUGGUAGGGGCAAGCGGAAUUCCUGGUGUAGCGGUGAAAUGCGCAGAUAUCAGGAGGAACACCGGUGGCGAAGGCGGCUUGCUGGGCCAGUUCUGACGCUGAGGAGCGAAAGCGUGGGGAGCGAACAGG